GUGUUUUUUCACCUUUAUUAUUAACAUUUGUCUGGCAGAAUUAGCCCUCAAAUAUUUGACUUAACGAAUUCUACAUCUGGUAGCGCCGAGUCCAGGCCUUGGCAUAGAGCAAUCUCAUCAUAUGCCUAUUACAAUUCCUCAGUGGUUAGACUUGCAAACAGUUAUUGAGGUGUAUUAGAUGCCAGGGUUCACCUGCCACCUCCUCCUGCACGGCUGUUUUCCGUCCUCCCGGGGAGGGGGCGUGGCCAGCACCACGGCCCGCCCUAUCUGUGCACUCGUUGGUCCAGCCCGACGCCCGUUACUGCCGAGGCCCGCCCAAACCACGCCCCCGCGGAGCGCGCCGGGCCGAGAGAAGGUGUAGCCAUUGUCCCGCCGGUCGAGCCAGACCGUCUGCUCUCGUGAGAAUUGGGGCGCGCUCGGAGACUCGCACGGCCCGCGGUCGCGCGCAGCCCCGCCCCCCCGGCACGCAGGCCCCGCGCGAGCUCGCGCACGCGCGCACCCGCCAGGGCCUCGGGCUGGCCCGCGAGGACUGGCGGGCGGAGAGCGGGCCGCUGAGGUGCGGGGGAGGAGCCCGAGCCGCCGCCGGCGCCGAGGAGCAUGUCUGCAAGUCGGGCCAAGAAAGUGAAGAUGGCCACCAAAUCGUGCCCCGAGUGCGACCAACAGGUUCCUGUUGCGUGUAAAUCGUGUCCUUGUGGUUACAUAUUUAUUAGCAGAAAACUUUUAAAUGCAAAACACCCAGAGAAAUCACCACCUUCUACAGAAAACAAGCAUGAGGCCAAGAGGAGGCGGACAGAGAGAGUUAGGCGAGAGAAGAUAAAUUCUACAGUAAAUAAGGAUUUAGAAAACAGAAAGAGAUCUCGAAGUAACAGCCAUUCAGAUCAUAUCAGACGAGGAAGAGGAAGACCUAAGAGUGCGUCUGCCAAAAAGCACGAGGAGGAACGAGGAAGCUACUGCAGGAUACAUGUUAUCAAAAUGAAGACAUAAACCAAGAAAGUAUCUUGGGAUCCGGGUCACAGGGUCCAACUCGAGAGAGAUGAAGAGAAUCUGCAGCAUGGUGUUAAGAGAUUCAAGAUAACAGUUGUGUAACAGACCUGGAAAACAACCGUUUCAGAUUGGAGCACAUCAGAUGACUUGGAGAGAUUUCUUCAAGACGAUAACAUUGAUAUAAUACAUAAUAUGUCUAAAAUUCUGAAAGGCACACAUAACUAGGAGAGAGUUUGGGUUGAAUUAGUAAUGAAAACCUAAGCAAAUGAAAAAAGAGAAUCCCUUCAGGGAAAACAAUGUGCAGGAAAAGGAAAAUAAUUUACAUAGAAUAAUGUAAACAUUGAAUAUUGAUCUCCCCGAAAUUGUGAUAUAAUGGGGAGAGUGUGGUACAAUACGUGGAAAACAACAAAAUCCUAAUUUUCCAUGGGAGAAAGUCACUUAAUAAUGCCUAAAAUCAAAAAACUAAAAAGUAACAUCAUAUAAAAAAUAUUAGAGAUAGAGACAUAAAAACAAAAAGGAACAAUUGAAGAAAAAAGUAGUUGCAUUUGGAGAGUGGGAAAUGUAUAUGGGGGAGGACUUCUGUUUUUAUAGCAAGUUUGGUAAAAAUGAUUUGACUCUAAAUUAUGUGCAUGUUUACCUUUGAUUAAAAGGUCAAAACAAAAUUAAAAAACAGGAAAAAGUAGAAUCAUAAUAGAGCCUGAGAAAAUUUGGAAAAAUGUACACAAAGCUGUUAAUUGUGACUUUAGCUGGCUCAUGAGAAAAUAGAUGAUUUUUAUUUUCUUUUUUGUUUUUCUAUAUUUUUCAAAUUUUCUACCAUGGACUUGGAUUACAUUUGUAAUCAGGAGGGGGAAAAAUAGACAUAAAUGUUCAUUAUUCUUAUUUUCUGUAGCAGGGCUAAGGUGAAGAAGUUAAUAUAUUCAUAAAGGCACCACUGAUGUUCAGAAGGGACCAUCUUUAGGAGAAACAGGAAAAGGAAAUUGACAUCUAUGCUAACCUCUCUGAUGAAAAGGCUUUCGUGUUUUCAGUCGCCUUGGCAGAAAUAAAUAGAAAAAUUAUCAAUCAAAGACUUAUUCUUUGAUAUUUGUCUGAAAAAUGUGUCGAAACUUUCUUCAGGAUUACAUCAGCAAAUUCUCGAACAGUCACGGACUCUCAGGAGCGUUCUGACUGCAUCAAUAAGGGCCAUCGAUUGUUUUUUUCCCCCCUGUCAUUUAGCCUGUGCCACAUUUGGGAGCAAAACUCUAGGCUUGGACUGUUUUGGGAUUUCCUUGUUUACCAAGGAGUGUUGUCAGUGUUUUGUGUUUGGGACAUAAGUAAGUAUAUAUUUACCACCCCUCCUCCCCCCAAAAAAACUGGAUGGCUAUUAAAGGAUAAAGGGGUAGGGGUGGGAGUGGAAGUGUGAAAACUAGGGAGAUAAAAUGCUUAAUAGUAUUCGGGUUUGCCACCAGAGAUGCAAUAUUUUAAAUACUUUGAGAAAGAGUGACUUUUAAAAGUAUAUAUUUCAGAUUUUCAGCAGUAACAGAUUGCAUAUAUACAGUUCAAUUACUUUUAGUAAAUUGGCAAUUGAUAUUUUAUUGAAUGGGGAAUUAAGAAUAUAAACUGUAAAUUUUGUCUUAAAUUGAUUUUUUUCUUGGCCUUUAUUUUUAUGACUUAAGGUAUGAGUUGUAUUUUGGGAGAUACUUUCUAAACAGUUUGGAAGUUUGGGUGCUACAUGAAGAAAAACGUUUAAGGAUAUAUCAUACUUUAGAUAUAAACACCUUGUUUUCUUGAAUGUAAUUUAUUUAUUGGUUAAAAAAAAAACUUUUCUGCUCUCAAGAUGGUGCCUGUUAACCUAAACAUAAAAUAUAUUUAUUACUUACAAAAUAUUUCUUAGAUAGCCACUUUUAAGCAGUAAUGUUUUAUCUGAAUGGGUGUUCAUUUAUACAUCCUGAUAAUUAUUUAAAUUGUUACUUAACCCCACUCUGGAAGAAAAAAAUAAAUUUAAUAUUGAAAUUAAUAGAUUAAA
This is an RNA transcript of Equus quagga, 2986 nucleotides long. It is a transcript of the gene named chromosome 13 C16orf87 homolog, with no coding region annotated. The transcript has 5 exons. The record is from RefSeq and is a predicted model, not a curated record. NCBI's taxonomy places the organism in Eukaryota, Metazoa, Chordata, Mammalia, Perissodactyla, Equidae.